GAUGAACGCUGGCGGCGUGCCUAAUACAUGCAAGUCGAGCGAACAGACGAGGAGCUUGCUCCUCUGACGUUAGCGGCGGACGGGUGAGUAACACGUGGAUAACCUACCUAUAAGACUGGGAUAACUUCGGGAAACCGGAGCUAAUACCGGAUAAUAUAUUGAACCGCAUGGUUCAAUAGUGAAAGACGGUUUUGCUGUCACUUAUAGAUGGAUCCGCGCCGCAUUAGCUAGUUGGUAAGGUAACGGCUUACCAAGGCAACGAUGCGUAGCCGACCUGAGAGGGUGAGCGGCCACACUGGAACUGAGACACGGUCCAGACUCCUACGGGAGGCAGCAGUAGGGAAUCUUCCGCAAUGGGCGAAAGCCUGACGGAGCAACGCCGCGUGAGUGAUGAAGGUCUUCGGAUCGUAAAGCUCUGUUAUUAGGGAAGAACAAAUGCGUAAGUAACUAUGCACGUCUUGACGGUACCUAAUCAGAAAGCCACGGCUAACUACGUG
This 497-nucleotide ribosomal RNA is filed under the name uncultured bacterium. Its description in RNAcentral is "partial 16S ribosomal RNA". It matches the Rfam family "Bacterial small subunit ribosomal RNA", at positions 28 to 507 of the family's 1533-position model. The record is from RNAcentral.